ACGGUAACAUAUGCUCGCUCGCUCUCGGUUUCAGUCGUUACAUCGACAACUCUUAAGUACGUUCAAUUUUUUCAGGUUUUUCUAGAUUUGUACAUCAUAAUAAACGGUUACAACGUCUUCAAGAAAGUUGUAUAUGUGUGAGGACGUAACCAUAACAACAAUUGCCCGCUAGCUCUCAUUUGAGUUGUUACAUCCACGAGCUUGAAGUACUGUUAUUUUUACCACGUUUUUAUUGAUUUGUACAUCACAAGAAACGUGUUUUUUUCUCGUAAAAAAGUCUUCAAGAAAGUUGACGUUUGAGGCAGGUUCGCUACAAGACUAAAAUAAUUUGCACACCAGACAGGUUGCCUGUACUAGCAGCUGGAGCUGCUCUGAUUGCGGACUAGCUAAUGGCCAUAGCUUGAAUUGCUUCAAUGAUGUAACUGUCAAAAAGGUUGUGAAGAAUCCACAAGAACAAGAGCAGUUCCCACCUGGUUUCCAUGGCAUCUGUCCAACUCACAGCAGGAAAGGAAGCAGAUCUCGGCAGUGCUGAGUUCGCCCUCUUCUGGACGGAAGUGAGGGCUCCAAUAAGCCUUGGUCUAAUUAGCCGUGCUGUCAAAACAUUUCUGCACAAGUCCUUUUAGAAAACUCUACUGCAUGCUCACACUGAACUAUUCCGAGGGGAGAUUUGUUAAUUUGGACUUAUGUAACACCACAGCUCGCUGCCAUUAUGGGAAAAACAAAUGAAAAGGUCAAAUGAUAGUAAAUUCAACCCAAAAGGAACCUCUUAACACAGUUUGGACUGUACCCUGCAUUCACCUUUGCUUAGAAAAAGACAUGAGGUGGAACGAC
Sinocyclocheilus rhinocerous is the source of this 831-nucleotide long non-coding RNA. RefSeq lists it as uncharacterized. The record is from RefSeq and is a predicted model, not a curated record. NCBI's taxonomy places the organism in Eukaryota, Metazoa, Chordata, Actinopteri, Cypriniformes, Cyprinidae. The transcript has 3 exons.